Molecule: long non-coding RNA, 1084 nt
Filed under: Homo sapiens (human)
Lineage: Eukaryota; Metazoa; Chordata; Mammalia; Primates; Hominidae
Description: HSALNT0048763
Source: RNAcentral
CCAGGACUGUGUGUGCGCACGCGUGUGUGCAGGUGUUGCUUGGAGACUCCUGUGCCCUUGCGUGCAUGUAUGUGUCCCUGGGCACCACGGCGUGCAUAUCUGAAGUAUGCUCCUGCUGACACACACCUGCGUGCGCACAGGCCCCCGUGUGCACACGUGUGUGCAUGCUUGGGUGUCAAUGUUCACGCGUGUGUGCGUGCGUCCUCACCGUGCAUGCGCCCACAGAAAAUACCACCGAAGUCCCUCCCAUCAUCUGCUGGCCCCAACCCCACGCCUAUAUGUCUUCUCAGCUGUUCUGCCUCACCCACUCCUGCCUCACACAGCUGAGUCCCCUGCAAGGGAAGACAAAGCCUCGGCCCCAACCGUUUCAUCCAUUUCAAGAAGCUUCAACCUUUGUGUGGCUACCUUAGCAAACCCCUGCAGGGUUAGCAGUCAGAAGGCACUUGUGGACUCCCAAGGCAGGGCUGGGCAGAGGUUGAGGGUGUGGCCUCUGGCAGCAGGCAGAACAGCCUUCCAUCUCUUCUCCAGUUCCUAGCAGUGUGGUCUCAGCUAGGUCAAUCAACUUCUCCGAGCCUCAGUGGCCUCAUCUGUAAAAUGGGUCUGAUGACACCUGCCUUAAGCAGUUAUUAUGAAGGUUUGAUACAUUGUAAUACAUCGAACUACAUGAAAUUCCCUUUACUCAACCAGCUUUUGACAUUAAUGAGUAUUUACUCGGUGAAAUAUUAUAUCAAUAAACUGUCUUAUUGAAAAGAUUUCUACUUGGUGCCUGUCCUUUUCUUUUUUACUCUUGAUGUUUCGUAUUUGUAUAAAUGCUACCUGCUGAUUUUAAAGAAUUCAAGUAACACAGGAAAGCACACAGAAGAAAGUGAAAAGCAAAACACAAUAAAAUAAACCUCAAUUUCAGAAAUUAAGCCAUCAUUAAUAAAUAACCACCAUUUCCAGAAAUUUCUUUUUACAUUGAUGCAGAUAAGUUUAGAGAGAUAGAUUGCUAGAAAUUUGCUGUAAGGAGGGAUCCUAUUGAAAAUUUUAAUAUGACUUAUUAAAUCUAAUUUGAGUUUAUGUUGGCAGCAGUAAAUGAAGCAAC